This 550-nucleotide ribosomal RNA is filed under the name uncultured bacterium. RNAcentral describes it as "bacterial SSU rRNA". It matches the Rfam family "Bacterial small subunit ribosomal RNA", at positions 774 to 1318 of the family's 1533-position model. The record is from RNAcentral.
AGUGAAUAGAUACCCUGGUAGUCCACGCCCUAAACGAUGUCAACUAACUGUUCGAAGUCACUAAAGAUUUUGAGUAGUGAAAGCUAACGCGAUAAGUUGACCGCCUGGGGAGUACGGCCGCAAGGUCGAAACUCAAAGAAAUUGACGGGGGCCCGCACAAGCGGUGGAGUAUGUGGUUUAAAUUCGAUGCAACGCGAAGAACCUUACCCGGUCUUGACAUGGUAGGAAUCUUGUAGAGAUACGAGAGUGCCUUCGGGAACCUACACACAGGUGCUGCACGGCUGUCGUCAGCUCGUGUCGUGAGAUGUUGGGUUAAGUCCCGCAACGAGCGCAACCCUUGCCCUUAGUUACCAUCAUUUAGUCGGGGACUCUAAGGGGACUGCCGGUGAUAAACCGGAGGAAGGUGGGGACGACGUCAAGUCAUCAUGGCCCUUAUGACCGGGGCUACACACGUACUACAAUGGUCGGUACAGACGGUCGCAAGCUCGCGAGAGUAAGCUAAUCCGAGAAAACCCGAUCGUAGUCCGGAUCGCAGUCUGCAACUCGACUG